UACGUAGGUGGCAAGCGUUUGUCCGGAUUUAUUGGGUUUAAAGGGUGCGUAGGCGGUCUAUUAAGUCAGUGCUGAAAUAUCCCGGCUUAACCGGGAGGGUGGCAUUGAUACUGAUGGACUUGAGUGCAGUCGAGGUAGGCGGAAUUGACGGUGUAGCGGUGAAAUGCUUAGAUAUCGUCAAGAACACCGAUAGUGAAGACAGCUUACUAGACUGUAACUGACGCUGAGGCACGAAAAGUGUGGGGGAUCAAAACAGGGA
RNAcentral lists this ribosomal RNA (259 nucleotides) under uncultured bacterium. RNAcentral describes it as "partial 16S ribosomal RNA". It matches the Rfam family "Bacterial small subunit ribosomal RNA", at positions 524 to 778 of the family's 1533-position model. The record is from RNAcentral.